Molecule: ribosomal RNA, 93 nt
Filed under: Thraustochytrium sp. LLF1b
Lineage: Eukaryota; Bigyra; Thraustochytrida; Thraustochytriidae
Description: partial Bacterial small subunit ribosomal RNA
Source: RNAcentral
CGAAAAUCUUUUGCAAGACGUGAUUGGGCGAUGCCGCGUGGAUGAAGACGAUGUCCUGGUGGUCGAGGGAGAUCUCGAUUUGGAGGAAAUAUA